Molecule: ribosomal RNA, 253 nt
Filed under: uncultured bacterium
Lineage: Bacteria
Description: partial 16S ribosomal RNA
Rfam family: Bacterial small subunit ribosomal RNA
Source: RNAcentral
UACGUAGGGUGCAAGCGUUAAUCGGAAUUACUGGGCGUAAAGCGUGCGCAGGCGGUUGUGCAAGACAGAUGUGAAAUCCCCGGGCUCAACCUGGGAACUGCAUUUGUGACUGCACGGCUAGAGUGUGUCAGAGGGGGGUAGAAUUCCACGUGUAGCAGUGAAAUGCGUAGAUAUGUGGAGGAACACCGAUGGCGAAGGCAGCCCCCUGGGAUAACACUGACGCUCAUGCACGAAAGCGUGGGGAGCAAACAGG